GACGAACGCUGGCGGCGUGCUUAACGCAUGCAAGUCGAACGGAAAGGCCCUGCUUUUGUGGGGUGCUCGAGUGGCGAACGGGUGAGUAACACGUGAGUAACCUGCCCUUGACUUUGGGAUAACUUCAGGAAACUGGGGCUAAUACCGGAUAGGAGCUCCUGCUGCAUGGUGGGGGUUGGAAAGUUUCGGCGGUUGGGGAUGGACUCGCGGCUUAUCAGCUUGUUGGUGGGGUAGUGGCUUACCAAGGCUUUGACGGGUAGCCGGCCUGAGAGGGUGACCGGCCACAUUGGGACUGAGAUACGGCCCAGACUCCUACGGGAGGCAGCAGUGGGGAAUAUUGCACAAUGGGCGGAAGCCUGAUGCAGCAACGCCGCGUGCGGGAUGACGGCCUUCGGGCUGUAAACCGCUUUCGCCUGUGACGAAGCGUGAGUGACGGUAAUGGGUAAAGAAGCACCGGCUAACUACGUG
This 468-nucleotide ribosomal RNA is filed under the name uncultured bacterium. RNAcentral describes it as "partial 16S ribosomal RNA". It matches the Rfam family "Bacterial small subunit ribosomal RNA", at positions 28 to 507 of the family's 1533-position model. The record is from RNAcentral.